UGGUCAAUUGCUGUCAUUAGAUAGAGGAAAGUCCGCACUAGCACAAUCUGAGAUGAUUGUAGUGUUUGUACAUGUGCUAAUAACAUAUGGUGAUUUUAAAAAAAUCAACGGCAAAUUAUUUUGGACCCAUGUGGUUGACAAUAAUUUUUAAAGUGCCACAGUGACGAAACUAGUUAGCAAUAAUUAGAGUGAAACGAGGUAAACCCUGCAAGCUAGAAACCCAAAUUUUGGUAGGGGAAUUGAGACGAUCGAAAUGAAGAAAAGUCUCAAAUUAAUUUGUUCUAAAUUAAUAGAUAAAUAAUUGACGCUUUUAAAGUACAGAAUGCGGCUUAUAG
RNAcentral lists this RNase P RNA (335 nucleotides) under Candidatus Ureaplasma intestinipullorum. RNAcentral describes it as "Bacterial RNase P class B". It matches the Rfam family "Bacterial RNase P class B". Rfam says of the family: Ribonuclease P (RNase P) is a ubiquitous endoribonuclease, found in archaea, bacteria and eukarya as well as chloroplasts and mitochondria. Its best characterised activity is the generation of mature 5'-ends of tRNAs by cleaving the 5'-leader elements of precursor-tRNAs. Cellular RNase Ps are ribonucleoproteins. The record is from RNAcentral. Lineage: Bacteria; Bacillati; Mycoplasmatota; Mycoplasmoidales; Mycoplasmoidaceae.